Molecule: long non-coding RNA, 570 nt
Organism: Mauremys mutica (yellowpond turtle)
Lineage: Eukaryota; Metazoa; Chordata; Testudines; Geoemydidae
Exons: 4
Source: RefSeq, a predicted model, not a curated record
UGCACGUAUCAAGGCUGUGUUUUGGGAGAUGGAGAUAUUCAUUGUGACAGAGUGUACCAUGUGUUUGACGCCCUCCCACCUUGGCUAAUCCUGCCCCAAGCAGGUUUCCUUCUGGUGGAAAAGAGCAGUGAGUUUAGAUACUCCACUGGCUGCCAAGAGAGUCCACCACGUUCAGCAGCUGGCAGAACCAACAAGAAUUGAUCCUCAAGCAGCUAUAAGGAUCAGGAGGAGAAAGUCAAACAGGGCACAACAAACAAGAUAUAGUAUAUUUCAUUCUGAAGGAUCCCAAAGCACUUCACAUAGUAAGUCCUUACACCAGCUCUGAACUGAAGUCAUCACUGGGAUGGAUGGUGUUAGCCAACUAAUACAGAGCAAUAUGAUAUAACACGAACCAUAACAUAACUUUGCAGUGCCCUCUACUGUGCAUCUCAGCAACUCCUUCUGAUACCAAGAACCAGAGAGAAACAUGUCCACGAAAACAAAGGAAGCCACCGCAGGUCAGAAGCAAGCAGCAAAUUUGAAAAUGCUGUGGAAAUAAAUAAAUACACAAAUUUGUGCACCUGCAAUCAG